This 114-nucleotide ribosomal RNA is filed under the name Bacillus spizizenii. RNAcentral also lists the same sequence under 3 other names. Lineage: Bacteria; Bacillati; Bacillota; Bacilli; Caryophanales; Bacillaceae. The record is from RNAcentral.
UUUGGUGGCGAUAGCGAAGAGGUCACACCCGUUCCCAUGCCGAACACGGAAGUUAAGCUCUUCAGCGCCGAUGGUAGUCGGGGGUUUCCCCCUGUGAGAGUAGGACGCCGCCAA